CUACGGGGGGCUCCAGUGGGGAAUAUUGGGCAAUGGGCGCAAGCCUGACCCAGCAACGCCGCGUGAGGGAAGAAGGUUUUCGGAUUGUAAACCUCUGUCCUUGGGGACGAAGAAGUGACGGUACCCAAGGAGGAAGCUCCGGCUAACUACGUGCCAGCAGCCGCGGUAAUACGUAGGGAGCAAGCGUUGUCCGGAAUUACUGGGCGUAAAGGGUGCGUAGGCGGCAUAUUAAGUCAGGUGUGAAAUACUCGGGCUCAACCCGGGGGCUGCAUUUGAAACUGAUAUGCUUGAGUGUGAGAGAGGAAAGUGGAAUUCCUAGUGUAGCGGUGGAAUGCGUAGAUAUUAGGAGGAACACCAGUGGCGAAGGCGACUUUCUGGCUCAUAACUGACGCUGAGGCACGAAAGCGUGGGGAGCAAACAGGAUUAGAUACCCGUGUAGUC
Molecule: ribosomal RNA, 441 nt
Filed under: uncultured bacterium
Lineage: Bacteria
Description: partial 16S ribosomal RNA
Rfam family: Bacterial small subunit ribosomal RNA
Source: RNAcentral